This 520-nucleotide ribosomal RNA is filed under the name uncultured Glomeraceae. RNAcentral describes it as "SSU rRNA". It matches the Rfam family "Eukaryotic small subunit ribosomal RNA", at positions 569 to 1092 of the family's 1831-position model. Lineage: Eukaryota; Fungi; Glomeromycota; Glomeromycetes; Glomerales; Glomeraceae. The record is from RNAcentral.
AGCAGCCGCGGUAAUUCCAGCUCCAAUAGCGUAUAUUAAAGUUGCUGCAGUUAAAAAGCUCGUAGUUGAAUUUCGGGAUCAAUAUGUUGGUCGUGCCUCGGUACGUACUAGCUUAUUGGUUUCUCCCUUCUGAUGAACCAUGAUGUCAUUUAUUUGGUGUUAUGAGGAAUCAGGACUGUUACUUUGAAAAAAUUAGAGUGUUUAAAGCAGGCUCACGCUUGAAUACAUUAGCAUGGAAUAAUGAAAUAGGACGUUUGAUUCUAUUUUGUUGGUUUCUAGGAUCGACGUAAUGAUUAAUAGGGAUAGUUGGGGGCAUUAGUAUUCAAUUGUCAGAGGUGAAAUUCUUGGAUUUAUUGAAGACUAACUACUGCGAAAGCAUUUGCCAAGGAUGUUUUCAUUAAUCAAGAACGAAAGUUAGGGGAUCGAAGACGAUCAGAUACCGUCGUAGUCUUAACCAUAAACUAUGCCGACUAGGGAUCGGAUGAUGUUGAUUUUUUAAUGACUCAUUCGGCGCCUUACG